GGAGGCGUGAGGAGGCUGGUGCCUCUCCCGGGCUUCAAACCCGGUGCGCCCCCAAAAGGGGUGGGUGGGUUCAAUUCCCAUACGCCUCCGCCA
This 93-nucleotide transfer RNA is filed under the name Thermodesulfobacterium commune. RNAcentral's name for it is "tRNA-Sec". It matches the Rfam family "Selenocysteine transfer RNA". Lineage: Bacteria; Pseudomonadati; Thermodesulfobacteriota; Thermodesulfobacteria; Thermodesulfobacteriales; Thermodesulfobacteriaceae. The record is from RNAcentral. RNAcentral also lists the same sequence under 1 other name.